RNAcentral lists this ribosomal RNA (246 nucleotides) under Selaginella moellendorffii. RNAcentral's name for it is "rRNA LSU_rRNA_eukarya". It matches the Rfam family "Eukaryotic large subunit ribosomal RNA", at positions 675 to 945 of the family's 3401-position model. Lineage: Eukaryota; Viridiplantae; Streptophyta; Lycopodiopsida; Selaginellales; Selaginellaceae. The record is from RNAcentral.
CUAACAUGUAUGCGAGUUUGUGGGUGUUAAACCCAUAUAGGCAAAAGGAAACUAAUUCGUGGGAUCCCUUUCUAAAGUGCACCAUGGACCAACUUUGAUCUUUUGAGAAGGGUUUGAGUGUUAGCGUACCUACUAUGAACUAUCCCUAACUAGGGUGAAGCUAGAAGAAACUUUGGGGGAGCCUCGUAGUCCCAAAGAUUAACUCCUAGUACUAAGGGUGGCUAAGGGUAAAAACCCAAAGCAUGU